Molecule: long non-coding RNA, 2299 nt
Organism: Haliotis rubra (blacklip abalone)
Lineage: Eukaryota; Metazoa; Mollusca; Gastropoda; Lepetellida; Haliotidae
Exons: 3
Source: RefSeq, a predicted model, not a curated record
UUCUUCGACAUACAGCAAGGAUAUAUGUUGCAGAAGCUGGGCGUGAAACCAACAGACGUGAAACAGGGACGAUGACGCCGGUGGCUCUGCAGUGUCCUAAACUACAACUGUCCGCUGAUCGAGCCAACACAAGAUGGUGCCACGUAACUACAGGCGGUGAGCUGGUGAACUCGCCGCCCGCCACACAACACAGACACAGCGGCAGGUUACGGAAAUAUGAGGGUACAUGUGCCUCCACCCCCAUCCCCCUUCCUCUAUCCCCCUCUACUGUCACCCCUGUCCCACACACACCACGAUACUGGGAGACACACUCUAGGGUGGGUGUGGUGUAUGGAAGGUUGGGGGGGUUGUCCUGGAGAUGGGUGUAGGAGAGGAGAGCCAGGUAGACAGUGGGACGUAUGUUUGUGACCAGCGCCGCUCCUGGUGUGUCUGUGUAUGGAGCUGUGAGCACACACGAGGGGAGUCUCUGUACCAACGUGUGGCAGCAGGGGAAGUCUGGGGAGAAGUGUUACAGUAACACAAUGUCUGCCACACCCGGCACACAGGCCACCCUCCACUAUGGCGUUGUGCUGGAUGUGGGAGGGGAGACUCGCCUUCAUAGACCUCAACAGAGAGGUUGUUUUAGCCAAGGUGGAUGUUGAGUGGAGCGAGUCUCUUCUUCCCAUGUUUGGUGUUGGGUGGCCAGGUGCCUACACAGUCAACAUGAAGGUGAUAAGUGGGGCAGAUAUCACCAUGACUGACACCAAGAAGUCACUUAUUUAUGACGCCUUGAAUUAGAGAAUAAAAUAAACAUGACAUUGUGUAAACUUGUAAGUGUGACAUAUUUAUUUAAACUGUCAAAUGUAAUUGUAGUGAUUGAGGCGGACGUAUAAGUUGUCUGUCUAUAUGCUGUUUGAUGUGUACAAGAAUGUAACGAGGUCAGCUAAAUGUGUUGUUUUUCUACUUGACUGGAUUCAGGGGAUGUUACAAACAUUUUACAUCCACACAUGACUAUUGUUAUGAUUAUUAUUCUGCAGUAGUUGACCAGUUUAUCAUACAUUUCAUACAUGUCUGGGAAAUGUCACAACAAAUAACUGAAUCCACAGUUCAUCAAAAGUUGUUUCAAAUCAUGAAUUUAUUGCCAUGUUUAGUUUCUACUCUGUAAUGUAAAUGUUUUAAAUCCCCAAAUGAACAGCUGUGAUGAAAUUAUUGUAGUUGUGAAUCCACAUACGUCACAUUUGAUGUCAGUGAAGAGAUGUGGUGAAAGUGAUAGAAGCGGACAUAGAAUGUCCCCGUGUACAUAGCGAGACGCAUAUUCCGAAAUACAAUCAAGUUCGCAGAAUCUUUGGUUUCCCUGAUUAGAUAGGUUUUAAAGUAAGUAAGAAGUGUUUAAAUCUACUAUUAAACAACUUCCGGAUUAAGUUAAGCAGAAAUGGCAGAUUUUAAAUGUCUGUUCUAACACUAUGUACAGGUACGGAACUGAAUAACGAACCAAAUCACAUUAUUUUCUAGAAUUUAUUCUGCAGCGUGGAACAAAUGCACUAUCCACUUAAAACAAGAGCAAGUAUAAACAGUUAUAUCAACGACAUCAGAGCUUAACAUUCACUAUAUAUAUCUCUCCGAUUUGAUUGUGGGGCGGUUCGGUUGUUAAAGCGUCUGUUCAUCACUCUGAAGACACGGGUUCGACUCCCCUCAUGGAUACAAUGUGUGGAACCCAUUUCUGGUGUUCCCCGCCUUGAUAUUGCUGGAAUAUUGCUUAAAGCAGGUAAAACCAUACUCACUCACUCACUCACUCACUCACUUGAUUGUGAGGACAUUAGGCUGUUUCGAAGCACUGCGUUCAAAGGGAAGUAACUCUGUGCGGGAAGCUGCGACAGAACCUGUUUCCACGUGUCUCGUCUCUCGAUGCUCAUGCUGUUGAUUACUGGAUUGUCUGGUCCAGACUCGAUUAUUUAAAGACCGCCGCUAUAGAGCUGGAAACAUACUCACUCACUCACCCACCAACUCUCACUCACCUCACCACUCACCCACCCAACCAACCAACCACCAUCCAUCCACUCACUCACUCUCUCACUCACUCACUCGAUUGGGAAGGCCUAUAGACUGUUUCUGUUUUAACGGAUUAUGUUCCAUGAGAUACACAUUAAGCAAGGCCCCGGAAAGAACACAUUGAUUUAAAUAAAUACCAAUGAGAGAAUAUAUGAUAAUCAUGGAAAGAUUUUAACCACUGAAGCGUAAUUCAGAUUUCAUGGAUACGAACAUCAUGUACAUUUAUUACAUUUUGUUUUGUGCUUUUCUCACGAAAUAAAUAUACUCAGCA